RNAcentral lists this ribosomal RNA (465 nucleotides) under uncultured bacterium. RNAcentral describes it as "bacterial SSU rRNA". It matches the Rfam family "Bacterial small subunit ribosomal RNA", at positions 338 to 795 of the family's 1533-position model. The record is from RNAcentral.
CCUACGGGUUGCAGCAGUGGGGAAUAUUGCACAAUGGGCGCAAGCCUGAUGCAGCCAUGCCGCGCGUAUGAAGAAGGCCUUCGGGUUGUAAAGUACAUUCAGCGGGGAGGAAGGCGAUAAGGUUAAUAACCUUGCCGAUUGACGUUACCCGCAGAAGAAGCACCGGCUAACUCCGUGCCAGCAGCCGCGGUAAUACGGAGGGUGCAAGCGUUAAUCGGAAUUACUGGGCGUAAAGCGCACGCAGGCGGUCUGUCAAGUCGGAUGUGAAAUCCCCGGGCUCAACCUGGGAACUGCAAUUGAAACUGGCAGGCUAGAGUCUUGUAGAGGGGGGUAGAAUUCCAGGUGUAGCGGUGAAAUGCGUAGAGAUCUGGAGGAAUACCGGUGGCGAAGGCGGCCCCCUGGACAAAGACUGACGCUCAGGUGCGAAAGCGUGGGGAGCAAACAGGAUUAGAUACCCGGGUAGUC